GCCAGGCAUGGUGGCUCAUGCCUGUAAUUCCAGCGUUUUGGGAGGCUGAGGCGAGUGGAUCACUUGAGGUCAGGAGUUUGAGACUUGCCUGGCCUACAUGGUGAAAACUCGUCUCUA
Macaca mulatta (Rhesus monkey) is the source of this 117-nucleotide unclassified non-coding RNA. It matches the Rfam family "Metazoan signal recognition particle RNA". Rfam says of the family: The signal recognition particle (SRP) is a universally conserved ribonucleoprotein. Lineage: Eukaryota; Metazoa; Chordata; Mammalia; Primates; Cercopithecidae. The record is from Ensembl.